CUAAAUACUCCCUAGUGACCGAUAGUGAACCAGUACCGUGAGGGAAAGGUGAAAAGCACCCCGGGAGGGGAGUGAAAGAGAACCUGAAACCGUGUGCCUACAACAAGUUCGAGCCCGUUAAUGGGUGAGAGCGUGCCUUUUGUAGAAUGAACCGGCGAGUUACGUUAUGAUGCGAGGUUAAGUUGAAGAGACGGAGCCGUAGGGAAACCGAGUCUGAAUAGGGCGCUUUAGUAUCAUGAUGUAGACCCGAAACCAUGUGACCUACCCAUGAGCAGGUUGAAGGUGCGGUAAAACGCACUGGAGGACCGAACCAGGGCACGUUGAAAAGUGCUUGGAUGACUUGUGGGUAGCGGAGAAAUUCCAAACGAACUUGGAGAUAGCUGGUUCUCUCCGAAAUAGCUUUAGGGCUAGCGUCGACAUGAAGAUUCUUGGAGGUAGAGCACUGUUUGGGUGAGGGGUCCAUCCCGGAUUACCAAUCUCAGAUAAACUCCGAAUGCCAAUGAAUUAUGGUCGGCAGUCAGACUGCGAGUGCUAAGAUCCGUAGUCGAAAGGGAAACAGCCCAGACCACCAGCUAAGGUCCCAAAAUAAUUGUUAAGUGGAAAAGGAUGUGGGGUUGCACAGACAACUAGGAUGUUAGCUUAGAAGCAGCUAUUCAUUCAAAGAGUGCGUAAUAGCUCACUAGUCGAGUGACCCUGCGCCGAAAAUGUACCGGGGCUAAAACAAUUUACCGAAGCUGUGGAUACCUUUUAUAGGUAUGGUAGGAGAGCGUUCUAUGUGUGGUGAAGGUGUACCGUGAGGAGCGCUGGAACGCAUAGAAGUGAGAAUGCCGGUAUGAGUAGCGCAAGACAGGUGAGAAUCCUGUCCACCGUAAGACUAAGGUUUCCAGGGGAAGGCUCGUCCGCCCUGGGUUAGUCGGGACCUAAGGAGAGACCGAAAGGUGUAUCCGAUGGCCAACAGGUUGAUAUUCCUGUACUAGAGUAUGAAGUGAUGGAGGGACGCAGUAGGCUAACUAAAGCAGACGAUUGGAAGAGUCUGUCUAAGCAGUGAGGUGUGAUAUGAGUCAAAUGCUUAUAUCUUUAACAUUGAGCUGUGAUGGGGAGCGAAGUUUAGUAGCGAAGUUAGUGACGUCACACUGCCAAGAAAAGCUUCUAGCGUUUAAACAUACUCUACCCGUACCGCAAACCGACACAGGUAGUCGAGGCGAGUAGCCUCAGGUGAGCGAGAGAACUCUCGUUAAGGAACUCGGCAAAAUGACCCCGUAACUUCGGGAGAAGGGGUGCUGACAGAGAUGUCAGCCGCAGUGAAUAGGCCCAGGCGACUGUUUAUCAAAAACACAGGUCUCUGCAAAAUCGAAAGAUGACGUAUAGGGGCUGACGCCUGCCCGGUGCUGGAAGGUUAAGAGGAGUGCUUAGGAGUAAUCCGAAGGUAUGAAUUGAAGCCCCAGUAAACGGCGGCCGUAACUAUAACGGUCCUAAGGUAGCGAAAUUCCUUGUCGGGUAAGUUCCGACCCGCACGAAAGGCGUAACGAUUUGGGCACUGUCUCAACGAUGGACUCGGUGAAAUCAUAGUACCUGUGAAGAUGCAGGUUACCCGCGACAGGACGGAAAGACCCCAUGGAGCUUUACUGCAGUUUGAUAUUGAGUGUCUGUGCCACAUGUACAGGAUAGGUAGGAGCCUACGAGAUCGGGACGCCAGUUUCGAUGGAGGCGUUGUUGGGAUACUACCCUUGUGUUAUGGCCACUCUAACCCGGUAGGUUUAUCAUCUACGGAGACAGUGUCUGACGGGCAGUUUGACUGGGGCGGUCGCCUCCUAAAAGGUAACGGAGGCGCCCAAAGGUUCCCUCAGAAUGGUUGGAAAUCAUUCGCAGAGUGUAAAGGUAUAAGGGAGCUUGACUGCGAGAGCUACAACUCGAGCAGGGACGAAAGUCGGGCUUAGUGAUCCGGUGGUUCCGCAUGGAAGGGCCAUCGCUCAACGGAUAAAAGCUACCCUGGGGAUAACAGGCUUAUCUCCCCCAAGAGUUCACAUCGACGGGGAGGUUUGGCACCUCGAUGUCGGCUC
RNAcentral lists this ribosomal RNA (2060 nucleotides) under human metagenome. Its description in RNAcentral is "bacterial LSU rRNA". It matches the Rfam family "Bacterial large subunit ribosomal RNA", at positions 466 to 2538 of the family's 2925-position model. The record is from RNAcentral.